RNAcentral lists this transfer RNA (86 nucleotides) under Tessaracoccus flavus. RNAcentral's name for it is "tRNA-Leu". It matches the Rfam family "tRNA". Rfam says of the family: Transfer RNA (tRNA) molecules are approximately 80 nucleotides in length. The record is from RNAcentral. Lineage: Bacteria; Bacillati; Actinomycetota; Actinomycetes; Propionibacteriales; Propionibacteriaceae.
GCGCGUGUGGCGGAAUGGCAGACGCGCCGGCUUCAGGUGCCGGUGCCCGCAAGGGCGUGGAGGUUCAACUCCUCUCACGCGCACAA